Molecule: long non-coding RNA, 579 nt
Filed under: Phoenix dactylifera (date palm)
Lineage: Eukaryota; Viridiplantae; Streptophyta; Magnoliopsida; Arecales; Arecaceae
Description: long non-coding RNA (PDAC_LNC020785)
Source: RNAcentral
GGCGGAUCAUGUACUGGGCGAGCUAAGAGAUAGGAAAAACGAGGGCGUCAGGCGGGGAUCAACAGAGCCUAUAAAUGAUGAAAGCGACCAAAAGAACACUCACCGACAUGAGACAGACGCAGCUGGCAGCCCCAAUGUCAGGGACCCUCAUCUCCCGGACCUGCCUGCGGUCCUUCUCCAGCAGCACCGUCUCGAUGAGGUUUCGGGCGCCGGCGAAAGUGAAGGCCGACCCCGACUUCUCCCUGGAGUCGGACGGUGGUUCUGCAGCCUUACCCUUACCCAUCGCUUGGUGAAGAGUCAUGCUGACCAUGCUCGGGGCGGGGACCGCCCCUGGAAUUGACAGGGUCCCGCUCGGCCGGGGCCUCGGCGCGUCCCUCCUCGUAUCAUCCGGAGCCGACCGAGUCGAAGGCUGGGCUAGGGACCGAUCGCGUCCAACCCGGCCGUCUCGGGCACGCUCAGAUGACACCUCCGGAAUAACGAUAGUCUCAUCACCGGAGGGCUGAUACAGCGCCAACUGUCGGUCCGAGCCCGCGGCGUCCCCCUGAUCGGUGGGUCCGGACCCGUCUGUCGGCGUCGGAG